This 397-nucleotide ribosomal RNA is filed under the name uncultured bacterium. RNAcentral's name for it is "partial 16S ribosomal RNA". It matches the Rfam family "Bacterial small subunit ribosomal RNA", at positions 523 to 918 of the family's 1533-position model. The record is from RNAcentral.
AUGCGUAGGGGGCGAGCGUUGUCCGGAAUGAUUGGGCGUAAAGGGCGCGUAGGCGGCCCGGUAAGUCUGGAGUGAAAGUCCUGUUUUUAAGAUGGGAAUUGCUUUGGAUACUGUCGGGCUUGAGUGCAGGAGAGGUAAGUGGAAUUCCCAGUGUAGCGGUGAAAUGCGUAGAGAUUGGGAGGAACACCAGUGGCGAAGGCGACUUACUGGACUGUAACUGACGCUGAGGCGCGAAAGUGUGGGGAGCAAACAGGAUUAGAUACCCUGGUAGUCCACACGGUAAACGAGGAAUGCUAGGUGUAGGGGGUAGCGACCCCUUCUGUGCCGCAGGCAACACAAUAAGCAUUCCGCCUGGGGAGUACGGCCGCAAGGUUGAAACUCAAAGGAAUUGACGGGG